Molecule: unclassified non-coding RNA, 366 nt
Filed under: uncultured fungus
Lineage: Eukaryota; Fungi
Description: sequence contains ITS1
Source: RNAcentral
ACAAUAUAGGGUGCUGACGCGAAAAAUCCCAUUUUUUUGAUGUCCAUGCCAUGCUGCUGCACCAAAAAUGACGUCAACCAGGUGGUGCUCCCCCAAUAUACCGCCAAUUGGCAGAACAGCGCGACGCAAUACACGUAGAAAUGACCGUCCUUCAGGAAGACGGCGUAAUUUUUAUUCCUGCUGUCCUUGCCGGAAUCGUCUCCGGCGGCGGCUGUACCGGUCAGCAUGAUGUGGUCAUAUUCCUCCUGCCGAAGUCGGCCUUUGGCGAGCACCUCUUGCGGCGAAUCCGACACAAAAUACAAGAGUGCCCACAUUCCAAUCAGACCGGGCAGUGCGAGGAAAUAGAACACCGGACGCCACUGGCCU